UGUCAUUUGAAAAAUGCCAUCCAUUUCCUGA
This 31-nucleotide small nucleolar RNA is filed under the name Cyanistes caeruleus (blue tit). RNAcentral's name for it is "Small nucleolar RNA SNORD123 (ENSCCEG00000019442.1)". The record is from RNAcentral. Lineage: Eukaryota; Metazoa; Chordata; Aves; Passeriformes; Paridae.